ACUCAAAUGAAUUGACGGGGGCCCGCACAAGCGGAGGAGCAUGUGGUUUAAUUCGAUGAUACGCGAGGAACCUUACCCGGGCUUGAAAGUUAGUGACCGAUCCGGAAACGGAUCUUCCCGCAAGGGCACGAAACUAGGUGCUGCAUGGCUGUCGUCAGCUCGUGCCGUGAGGUGUUGGGUUAAGUCCCGUAACGAGCGCAACCCCUAUCAUUAGUUGCCAUCAGGUCAUGCUGGGGACUCUAAUGAGACUGCCCGCGCAAGCGGUGAGGAAGGUGGGGAUGACGUCAAGUCAGCACGGCCCUUACGUCCGGGGCUACACACGUGCUACAAUGGACAGUACAGAAGGAAGCUACUAGGUGACUAGAUGCAAAUCUCCAAAGCUGUUCUCAGUUCGGAUCGAAGUCUGCAACUCGACUUCGUGAAGCUGGAUUCGCUAGUAAUCGGAUAUCAGCAAUGAUCCGGUGAAUACGUUCCCGGGCCUUGUACACACCGCCCGU
RNAcentral lists this ribosomal RNA (497 nucleotides) under uncultured bacterium. Its description in RNAcentral is "partial 16S ribosomal RNA". It matches the Rfam family "Bacterial small subunit ribosomal RNA", at positions 899 to 1397 of the family's 1533-position model. The record is from RNAcentral.